Acanthosepion pharaonis is the source of this 92-nucleotide non-coding RNA. The record is from the annotation of a GenBank genome assembly. Lineage: Eukaryota; Metazoa; Mollusca; Cephalopoda; Sepiida; Sepiidae.
CACGUGGUUCCCGUACGAUUACCGAAGUUAUGCAACGUCGAGCCUGGUCAGUACCUUGAUGGGUGACCGCUUGGGAAUACCAGAUGCUGUAU